This 253-nucleotide ribosomal RNA is filed under the name uncultured bacterium. Its description in RNAcentral is "partial 16S ribosomal RNA". It matches the Rfam family "Bacterial small subunit ribosomal RNA", at positions 524 to 776 of the family's 1533-position model. The record is from RNAcentral.
UACGUAGGGGGCAAGCGUUGUCCGGAAUUAUUGGGCGUAAAGAGCGCGUAGGCGGUCCGAUAAGUCGGCUGUGAAAGUCAAGGGCUCAACCCUUGGAAGCCGGCCGAUACUGUCGGACUAGAGUCCGGAAGAGGAGCGUGGAAUUCCUGGUGUAGCGGUGAAAUGCGCAGAUAUCAGGAGGAACACCAAUGGCGAAGGCAGCACUCUGGGGCGUGACUGACGCUGAGACGCGAAAGCGUGGGGAGCAAACAGG